Molecule: ribosomal RNA, 253 nt
Filed under: uncultured bacterium
Lineage: Bacteria
Description: partial 16S ribosomal RNA
Rfam family: Bacterial small subunit ribosomal RNA
Source: RNAcentral
UACGAAGGGGGCUAGCGUUGCUCGGAAUUACUGGGCGUAAAGGGCGCGUAGGCGGGCCGCCGCGUCCGGGGUGAAAUCCUCCCGCUCAACGGGAGAACGGCCUCGGAUACGGGCGGCCUCGAGGGGGGUAGGGGCGUGCGGAACUGUGGGUGGAGCGGUGAAAUGCGUUGAUAUCCACGGGAACUCCGGUGGCGAAGGCGGCACGCUGGACCCCACCUGACGCUGAGGCGCGAAAGCCAGGGGAGCGAACGGG